This 513-nucleotide ribosomal RNA is filed under the name uncultured bacterium. RNAcentral's name for it is "partial 16S ribosomal RNA". It matches the Rfam family "Bacterial small subunit ribosomal RNA", at positions 28 to 523 of the family's 1533-position model. The record is from RNAcentral.
GAUGAACGCUGGCGGCGUGCCUAAUACAUGCAAGUCGAGCGAACAGAUAAGGAGCUUGCUCCUUUGACGUUAGCGGCGGACGGGUGAGUAACACGUGGAUAACCUACCUAUAAGACUGGGAUAACUUCGGGAAACCGGAGCUAAUACCGGAUAACAUAUUGAACCGCAUGGUUCAAUAGUGAAAGGCGGCUUUGCUGUCACUUAUAGAUGGAUCCGCGCCGUAUUAGCUAGUUGGUAAGGUAACGGCUUACAAAGGCAACGAUACGUAGCCGAGCGGAGAUGGUGAUCGGCGACACUGGAACUGAGACACGGUCCAGACUCCUACGGGAGACAGCAGUAGGGAAUCUUCCGCAAUGGGCGAAAGCCUGACGGAGCAACGCCGCGUGAGUGAUGAAGGUCUUCGGAUCGUAAAACUCUGUUAUCAGGGAAGAACAAAUGUGUAAGUAACUGUGCACAUCUUGACGGUACCUGAUCAGAAAGCCACGGCUAACUACGUGCCAGCAGCCGCGGUAA